RNAcentral lists this transfer RNA (25 nucleotides) under Artemisia annua (sweet wormwood). Its description in RNAcentral is "partial tRNA-His". The record is from RNAcentral. Lineage: Eukaryota; Viridiplantae; Streptophyta; Magnoliopsida; Asterales; Asteraceae.
UGGAUUGUGAAUCCACCCAUGCGCG